CACGCAAAUAAUAACUUAUCAUAAUAAAAUCUAAAACAUCAUGCAAAUCACAAAUAAUAUUACAACAUAAUAAAUCCAGAUCUAAUCCACCCAUUCAAGAACACAUAUCAAGUAAUUAUAAUCAUUCAAUAGAUUAAAAAUCAUCAAAUAAAAUAAAUUUUUUAUCACAAAAAUUAUUCAACAUGUUAAACAAUUAUUUAGGUUUGAAAUCAACCUUAUAGGGUGGCUGAAGUCGAAUUAAAUCUGUUGUAACACGAGUGGUAGUGUCGACACGUGGAGCUACGCGCGGCCAUGAACAGCAACGCGUGAGGUUGACGUUCCGGUGACCUGGAGUGCACGUGGUGGCCUGUUUCGGGUAGAGCUCUUUUCCCUAUUCAUGGCUGCAUAGGUCGUUCGCCUUCACUCUCCCUAAAAUGAAAGAUAUAACCACGAGAAGUUUCAAUUUGUUUUAAUUUUUUUUUUCAAUCCCUUCCUUCUGAUUUAGUUCAAUCUCUUCGUUUUUCUCAAUUCAAGUAGCCGACAAUUCUGUUGUGGAGGAGGAGCUGCUAGUGUUAAUGGUCAGCCAUGGGUGGUGGAGCUGCUAGGUACUGGAGAGGCUGUCACGAUUUUCUCCUUUCUCCCUCAUUCAUUUGUUUCUUCCUUCUUCUUUUUUGUAUGCUGGACUACUAACUGGUGGACAGAGGAGAGGGAUGGAUUCGCGACAUGGAGGAGAGGUCGUAGUCGCGGGAAAGAUGAAAGAAAAAGGGGCAGCUUAGCGGAGAGUCUGUUGGUCUAUGACAAAUGAGGGAAUGGUUUAGCUUUUUUUAUGGUGGUUCAAGGCUGGGAAAAUGGUGGGAGAUGGAGCUGUUGAUCGUAGGUGCCUAUGGCCGAAAUUGGUUGGCUAGUGGUAGACGGCGGCUGAGAGGAAUAAGAGAUUUUUAGGAUUUUUUAUUUUAUUUUAUUUUUGGCUUUAGGGAGAGGGGUCAAAGAUGGAAGCAAAACCAAAAACUAAAAAUGACUCUUUGUUUUCUUUUCUUCACAUUUCUGAGCUUACUCCCCGUUCUCUU
Molecule: long non-coding RNA, 1046 nt
Filed under: Populus tremula
Lineage: Eukaryota; Viridiplantae; Streptophyta; Magnoliopsida; Malpighiales; Salicaceae
Description: long non-coding RNA (PTRE_LNC002674)
Source: RNAcentral